This is a non-coding RNA of Pelobates cultripes (western spadefoot toad), 79 nucleotides long. The record is from the annotation of a GenBank genome assembly. Lineage: Eukaryota; Metazoa; Chordata; Amphibia; Anura; Pelobatidae.
CUUUCUCCACAAAACACCUUCUUUCUCCUCAAAACACUCCAAGUGUUUUGGGGAGAAAGAAGGUGUUUUGUGGAGAAAG